Long non-coding RNA from Prunus persica (peach), 1225 nucleotides. RefSeq lists it as uncharacterized. NCBI's taxonomy places the organism in Eukaryota, Viridiplantae, Streptophyta, Magnoliopsida, Rosales, Rosaceae. The record is from RefSeq and is a predicted model, not a curated record. The transcript is spliced from 4 exons.
AAGUAUAGCUCUUUAAAUACAUAUAUAUUUUUAUAUAAUUCCACCGCCACCACCAGAGCUCAACAGCUCCGAAGAAUCAAGCUCUCCUCUGUUACUGCUCAACAGCCCCAAUUCCUUUGGAUUUCUGGACUUCUCACCAAAAGCUCAGCCCAGCAGAGUUGGGAACUUUCCUCACGUGGAAGGGAACUACGCGGUACAUGUCUACAUCCCAGUUUAUAUACCACCAGCACCAAGGAAAGAGAUGGCCAUUUUUUAACUAGCAAUUUCAGAUCCAUUAGCAAAUGCCAUGAGUUUGAGUAAAUGAAUACAUAAGAUAUUUUGUAAGGAAAACAGAAAAAAAGCAGAAUUUACCGAAUGAAGAAAGGCCUGAUUUUUUGAAUUCAAAUGGGCUCUUUUCCCCUGUUGUUCUUUAUCUCUGUCAAUUUGACAAGGUUACCAAUGUAUGCAACUGUAUCAAAUAUAAAAUGGUACACUAAUCCUCAAUUCCUGAAUGAACAAUACCGGUAACGAACUCAUGAUCAAAAAGAUCAAUUUUGAUUUACAAAAUAGGUAACUAGGGCAGAUGACUUGCAUUUACACAAUCAAUCAAAAUUGCGUUUUACAGUCUCAAUUUGAGCUACAAAACUUCAGCAGUAAAUGAAUACAUAAGAUAUUGUUGCAAGAAAAACAGAAAAAAAGCAUAAUUUACUGCACACACGAAGGCUCCUCUAAUGCCUUACAAAUUGUCGAUUGUCACCUCCACCUUUUUGUUGAAUACAUUUCGACUUCCCUCUACUUUACACAUCUUCUUCCUGAACUUUGAUGCACUGCUGUCUAAGUUCAAAUUCACCUUGGAUGGAUUAGAAAAGCAAAAAGUAGCUGCAACCGCCUGUCCAAUUCCAACUAAAUCGGAUGCCACAAAACAUAUUGUAGCAUAAUAAAUCCAAGGAUUUUUAGAGAAAUUCUAAUUUCAGCACUAGUUCAUAUUGUUGGAAGAAAUAUGUUUUUUUUUUUUUAAUGAAAGGGAGGAAGAAAUAUGUAAAUGACCAAGAGGUGAUGCUAUUUAGGGUUGGACCAGAACUUUUACUUUCAAUUGAUAGGUGAAAUGCAUGUAUCGACUGUUUUUAUACUGAGUAAAUGUACCAAGUGAUCUAAAAUACAGUGUGGUGUUCUAUGCUAUAAAACACGGACAAGGAGAUACCCCAAACAAAAACAUAUAGUCACAGGCUGUUGUGAAAACCAAACA